This 84-nucleotide microRNA precursor is filed under the name Bombyx mori (domestic silkworm). Its description in RNAcentral is "mir-2807 microRNA precursor family". It matches the Rfam family "mir-2807 microRNA precursor family". Lineage: Eukaryota; Metazoa; Arthropoda; Insecta; Lepidoptera; Bombycidae. The record is from Rfam by way of RNAcentral.
UAAACUCAAUUUUGUAUGGAAUUGGAACGUUUGCCUACGUUUGCCGCUAGGGGCGCUGUUCCAACUGCAUACAAAUUUGAGUUA